AGCCGCACACGGACACCGCAUUCUGCGGGGCCCGCACCCCGCCCCUCUGCACCCUCACCGCCCAGUGCCUCCUGCGGGAUGCCGUGGAGGCUCCUGGAACUCGGGAAGGGAAGAAUGAUCCGGCCCCAAAUAAGAAGCCCUUGGCUGGUCAGCAACAACCCCUUUGUUCUGAGAAGAGAGGAGGAAAGAAUAAAAGAAGAGGGGUGAAUCUCUGGUUUGGUAGAGGAAACUUGAAGACGUUUUCACUGGAAAGGAAGACAGGAGGAGAAGGAAGAUGUCUGUAAGGACGACCAAACCGGGUGACAGCGGAUUUCCUCAUACUGAAGUAAUGAGUCCUAGUUAUAAUAAAUUCCUAAUAAAAAAUCCAGUUUAUCCCUGCAAUAAACUUGUCAUAUUUUUUAAAA
Long non-coding RNA from Piliocolobus tephrosceles (Ugandan red Colobus), 404 nucleotides. RefSeq lists it as uncharacterized. Lineage: Eukaryota; Metazoa; Chordata; Mammalia; Primates; Cercopithecidae. The transcript has 2 exons. The record is from RefSeq and is a predicted model, not a curated record.